GGUGAACGCUGGCGGCGUGCCUAAGACAUGCAAGUCGAGCGGGCCGCGGGGUUUUACUCCGUGGUCAGCGGCGGACGGGUGAGUAACGCGUGGGUGACCUACCCGGAAGAGGGGGACAACCCGGGGAAACUCGGGCUAAUCCCCCAUGUGGACCCGCCCCUUGGGGUGUGUCCAAAGGGCUUUGCCCGCUUCCGGAUGGGCCCGCGUCCCAUCAGCUAGUUGGUGGGGUAAUGGCCCACCAAGGCGACGACGGGUAGCCGGCCUGAGAGGGUGGCCGGCCACAGGGCACUGAGACACGGGCCCCACUCCUACGGGAGGCAGCAGUUAGGAAUCUUCCGCAAUGGGCGCAAGCCUGACGGAGCGACGCCGCUUGGAGGAAGAAGCCCUUCGGGGUGUAAACUCCUGAACCCGGGACGAAACCCCCGACGAGGGGACUGACGGUACCGGGGUAAUAGCGCCGGCCAACUCCGUG
RNAcentral lists this ribosomal RNA (472 nucleotides) under uncultured bacterium. RNAcentral describes it as "partial 16S ribosomal RNA". It matches the Rfam family "Bacterial small subunit ribosomal RNA", at positions 28 to 507 of the family's 1533-position model. The record is from RNAcentral.